RNAcentral lists this ribosomal RNA (484 nucleotides) under uncultured bacterium. RNAcentral describes it as "partial 16S ribosomal RNA". It matches the Rfam family "Bacterial small subunit ribosomal RNA", at positions 28 to 523 of the family's 1533-position model. The record is from RNAcentral.
GACGAACGCUGGCGGCGUGCUUAACACAUGCAAGUCGAACGAUGAAGCUGGAGCUUGCUCCGGUGGAUUAGUGGCGAACGGGUGAGUAACACGUGAGUAAUCUGCCCUUGACUCUGGGAUAACUGCGGGAAACUGUAGCUAAUACCGGAUACGACACCUUCGGGCAUCCGAUGGGUGUGGAAAGAAUUUCGGUCAAGGAUGAACUCGCGGCCUAUCAGCUAGUUGGUGAGGUAAUGGCUCACCAAGGCGACGACGGGUAGCCGGCCUGAGAGGGUGCCCGGCCACACUGGGACUGAGACACGACCCAGACUCCUACGGGAGGCAGCAGUGGGGAAUAUUGCACAAUGGGCGAAAGCCUGAUGCAGCAACGCCGCGUGAGGGAUGAAGGCCUUCGGGUUGUAAACCUCUUUUAGUUGGGAAGAAGCGAAAGUGACGGUACCAACAGAAAAAGCACCGGCUAACUACGUGCCAGCAGCCGCCGUAA